Molecule: ribosomal RNA, 568 nt
Filed under: uncultured bacterium
Lineage: Bacteria
Description: bacterial SSU rRNA
Rfam family: Bacterial small subunit ribosomal RNA
Source: RNAcentral
AGGCAACCUGCCCUCAAGCUUGGGACAACUACCGGAAACGGUAGCUAAUACCGAAUACUUGUUUUCUUCGCCUGAAGGAAACUGGAAAGACGGAGCAAUCUGUCACUUGAGGAUGGGCCUGCGGCGCAUUAGCUAGUUGGUGAGGUAACGGCUCGCCAAGGCGACGAUGCGUAGCCGACCUGAGAGGGUGAUCGGCCACACUGGGACUGAGACACGGCCCAGACUCCUACGGGAGGCAGCAGUAGGGAAUCUUCCGCAAUGGGCGAAAGCCUGACGGAGCAAUGCCGCGUGAGUGAUGAAGGUUUUCGGAUCGUAAAGCUCUGUUGCCAGGGAAGAACGCUUAGGAGAGUAACUGCUCCUGAGGUGACGGUACCUGAGAAGAAAGCCCCGGCUAACUACGUGCCAGCAGCCGCGGUAGUACGUAGGGGGCAAGCGUUGUCCGGAAUUAUUGGGCGUAAAGCGCGCGCAGGCGGUCAUUUAAGUCUGGUGUUUAAUCCCGGGGCUCAACCCCGGAUCGCACUGGAAACUGGGUGACUUGAGUGCAGAAGAGGAGAGUGGAAUUCCACGU